CGUUCCCCCACUACCACGGCCACGCGAAGAACUUCAAGGACUGAGAGUGGCAACAUCCUGCUACGAAGAAGGAAGGGAAGGUGACAGAUCAACCAGCAGCGAGAAGAGGGAACUUCUUGCCCCAGAAGGCGCUGAAAAGCUGGAUAAUCGUCAAAGCCCAGGAACUGGGGUAAUUCCAGGGGAGAUUGAGACUGCUGACCUAAUGGAGGGAUGAAAGGACUACCCCAACGCUCCCUUCGAGAAUUAAAAUCACACCGUAGCUUUAAAAUCAAGCGGAAAAGAUACGGACCAAUGGAAAAAGAGGAUACUCAGGUCAAUGAUUAUCUAUUAGAUAAGGGAGGUAUGUGAACUGUCGUGGAUAAAUGGCCCCCGGCGGGUGUGCGCGGCUCACGGAAAUAUUCCACGUAAAAUGAUGUCUCCGCUCUUAAACCUGCUUCGUGCGUUAUUUUAAAUUACAGGGAAUAGGGGUGUUUCGGAGCGACGCCAAAACCCGUUUGGGGCGAUGCCAGCGGCCGGCUUUGAUCCGUAGGGAAGAAUUUCUCCCAGAUCCUCCUGAUUAUCAUAAAAAGAAACAAAAAAACCCCCACAAACCACGCGAGAUCGGUAAAAACAAGGAAUUCCUUUCUCCGUGCAGGAUCGCCGCGGCCCUACCUCGAGCAUCCGGCGCCGAAUCCCGACGGGGGACGCGCACCGGGUCGGCGACGCCUCCGUGCCGGCGGCCACCGGCGGCGAGGUGCGCUCGUCCCCUCCCAGCAGCCGCGGCCAAACGCCGUUGGGUUGGUUUCCCUUCACCCCACGACCCGGAAAACACCGAUAUCGGGGAGGGAUUUUUUUUCAACCGAUAAGGAAUAUCCAAGGAGGAAAGCGGUGAGGAUGAGGAAAUGCCGGCGCGCGGUAGGAAAACGCGGCGGUCGCCAAACCCCUCCCGCGCCUCAGUUUCCCCCGGCUGCGCCACCGGGGGGAAACCGGAGCCAAAAAGGGAAGGAAAAAAGAAAAGGAAAAAAAAAAAAAGCCUUAAAACCAGGAAAAACAACUCUUUGGGGCGGCUCCUCCCGGCCCAGCCCCACCCGAGUGCCGGGGUGGGGGAGCGCUGGGAAUUCCCGGCUGGAUAUUGCGCCUGUUUGGGGGUAGGAUGAGGGCACAGGUCGCUGCUCGUUCCCCGUGAUGGGGUCGGAGUCGCUCCGAUUACCCGGAGCAACUCCUGAAAAUACGGGUUUUUAAAAAGAAAAAGGAAAAACACAAA
Molecule: non-coding RNA, 1243 nt
Organism: Phalacrocorax carbo (great cormorant)
Lineage: Eukaryota; Metazoa; Chordata; Aves; Suliformes; Phalacrocoracidae
Source: RefSeq, a predicted model, not a curated record